AACGAACGCUGGCGGCAGGCCUAACACAUGCAAGUCGAGCGAGACCUUUGGGUCUAGCGGCGGACGGGUUAGUAACGCGUGGGAACGUGCCCUUCUCUGCGGAAUAGCCACUGGAAACGGUGAGUAAUACCGCAUACGCCCUUCGGGGGAAAGAUUUAUCGGAGAAGGAUCGGCCCGCGUUAGAUUAGAUAGUUGGUGGGUAACGGCCUACCAAGUCUACGAUCUAUAGCUGGUUUUAGAGGAUGAUCAGCAACACUGGGACUGAGACACGGCCCAGACUCCUACGGGAGGCAGCAGUGGGGAAUCUUAGACAAUGGGCGCAAGCCUGAUCUAGCCAUGCCGCGUGUGUGAUGAAGGUCUUAGGAUCGUAAAGCACUUUCGCCAGGGAUGAUAAUGACAGUACCUGGUAAAGAAACCCCGGCUAACUCCGUG
RNAcentral lists this ribosomal RNA (432 nucleotides) under uncultured bacterium. RNAcentral's name for it is "bacterial SSU rRNA". It matches the Rfam family "Bacterial small subunit ribosomal RNA", at positions 29 to 507 of the family's 1533-position model. The record is from RNAcentral.